UUAGUUGUAGUGUUGUAGUCACUAAACUGUCACUAGUCAGUCGCAAGGGCCAGUUAGUUCAGUUCAUCAUGUAUUGAAUACAGAUUACAGUUCAUGUUUCCAGUGUUUUAUCCGGGAAUUUAUUUGUUUUGAAGUCACUUGAUCUUCUAUUAUCAAUGAGACGUAUGUCGCGUCAUGCGCCGAUACAGCUUUGAAGGGGCGCACAAUCACGAGUAUCAUGGGGAAGCUGGUGACCCUUCGUUGCCAUAUACUUUUCGUGGAAAAGAGUUCAACGCAAGGACGACCAUGAGAUAGAGAAAAAACCAUUCAAGGGCCUUCUCAUAACUAAAGUUAUGAUUGACAUGGAGAAAAGGAGAAGAAACAGUCGUCUGCUGAAGUCAAUGAAGUCGAGACACUUGAAAAUUUUAAUUUGGAGCUCCAGCCAUAAAAUACAAUUCGUCGCAUUACUAUGUUAAUUAUGAAUGUUUAAGUAAAGGAUUUAUUCAUCAAUUUUGAAGUUAUGUAAUUUUUUCAAAUCCAGCUGAAUAUACUAUUUAUUCUAUAAAGGAGAU
This 551-nucleotide long non-coding RNA is filed under the name Nilaparvata lugens (brown planthopper). RNAcentral's name for it is "uncharacterized LOC120349478". The record is from RNAcentral. Lineage: Eukaryota; Metazoa; Arthropoda; Insecta; Hemiptera; Delphacidae.